UACGGAGGAUCCAAGCGUUAUCCGGAAUUACUGGGCGUAAAGGGUGCGUAGGCGGCUUUUUAAGUCGGAUGUGAAAACUCUGGGCUCAACCCAGAGCCUGCAUCCGAAACUGGAGAGCUUGGGUUCUGGAGGGGAAAGCGGAAUUCCUGGUGUAGCAGUGAAAUGCGUAGAUAUACGGAGGAACACCAGGGGCGAAGGCGGAUCGCUGGGCCAACACUGACGCUGAUGCGCGAAAGCUAGGGUAGCAAACGGG
This 253-nucleotide ribosomal RNA is filed under the name uncultured bacterium. RNAcentral describes it as "partial 16S ribosomal RNA". It matches the Rfam family "Bacterial small subunit ribosomal RNA", at positions 524 to 776 of the family's 1533-position model. The record is from RNAcentral.